UACGGGGGGAGCAAGCGUUGUUCGGAUUUACUGGGCGUAAAGGGCGCGUAGGCGGCGCAACAAGUCACUUGUGAAAUCUCCGGGCUUAACCCGGAGCGGCCAAGUGAUACUGUCGUGCUAGAGUGCGGAAGGGGCUACUGGAAUUCUCGGUGUAGCGGUGAAAUGCGUAGAUAUCGAGAGGAACACCUGCGGCGAAGGCGGGUAUCUGGGCCGACACUGACGCUGAGGCGCGAAAGCCAGGGGAGCGAACGGG
This 253-nucleotide ribosomal RNA is filed under the name uncultured bacterium. Its description in RNAcentral is "partial 16S ribosomal RNA". It matches the Rfam family "Bacterial small subunit ribosomal RNA", at positions 524 to 776 of the family's 1533-position model. The record is from RNAcentral.